RNAcentral lists this non-coding RNA (69 nucleotides) under Prorocentrum micans. The record is from RNAcentral. Lineage: Eukaryota; Dinophyceae; Prorocentrales; Prorocentraceae.
AAAAAUGGCUAAGGAAGCUUGCUACUUAAAGGCAUGACAUUGUUUUUUUUUUUUUUUUUUUUUUUUCCA